UAACUAUCCAGCAUCACAUAAUUAACCAACAGAGGCAAGAUUCAUAGAAAGGGCGGGAAUGCAAUAAACAUUUGAAAGUGAUAAAUUUUGUGUGCUAACAGAUUCGACACCUGCCAAGGACAUUAAAGUACCAUCAGCAGUCAUGACAGAUAUAGAUGACUUAGAAGGAUAUAAAGAAACUAAGGAUGUCGAGUCAGGUGACAUAUGAUUAGAUGCACCCCAGUCUAAAACCCAUACAAAAGAACUGUACUUGAAGGAUUUUGGGACAACAAACCUAUACGCGAAGAUGCAGAUAAAGGAGAUGGUUGUGUGGCAAGGAACCUCUGAAACUACUCAGUGAGAUUAGACAAAGUAGGAGCAGAAGGUUUCGAAGUAUUAAUAACAGAUGAGUCAAAAUGAUGUACAACAGUUUGUACUGGGCCUAUAGAUAGAUGUGGUUAUUGACCUCCCAAAUUUUUGGAAGACUAAUGUUGCCACUACUAUGAGGACCGUUGCUGACUCUUUGGAGGUUGUUGUCUCUUCAAUAACUUAGGACACUAAGCCUUCCAAUGUCCCUUAUGCUUGCAAAAGCUACAUUCAUCACUAACAAGUCUCAAAUAAGAUCUCAUUUGAUUCUGUGUGAAUGGUUGAGAAGAGACAGCCAAAACUGAAGCAGUGGAUGUUGAUAAAGAUAUUUUUCCUGCAUGGGAUUUCAAACUUUUUUCCUCUGCCAAAAGUUUACUAACAACAGAAUCAAUGGAAGGAAGUGGAUUAUGAUGCAGAAUUGACCCACGAAGUCCUUCAAAUUCAUCACGAAGAGCCAUAAAAAACUGAACCAAAUGCCGUCGCUCUCUACUCUUAAUAUAUGGUUUAUAAGCUCGAAGUUAUCAUCUUCUGUAAGAGUCAAUUUGAUCCCAAAGUUUGGUAAUUGCAGAAUAAAGUUCUUGAACACUCAUAUUUUUCUACUCUAUUGCUCGAAUAUCUACUUCUAAUUGGUAUUCCAUUGCAAAAUUAGACUGUGUGAACAACCUUGCUAAAUGGUCCCAAAUUUCCUUAGCUGUCUCAUAUUUUGCUAAUUGUAUACCAAUAGAGUGUUCAACAAAAUUAAAUAUCCAAGUGGUAAUUUUAGCAUUGUUCAUGUCCCAAGUACAAAGCAUUUCUACAAACUUUUCAUUUUCAUUUUCAUCAAGCUGAGGUUUGGUCUCAAUACCAGUUACAUAAUCCCACAAUGAUUUUCCUUUCAAAAAGUUUUUCAUCACAACACUCCAAUAUGAAUAAUUUUUUCCGUCUAGUCUCAUAGUAAUCGACCAAAGCGAAUCAUCUCUUACACCCGCCAUCAAAAAGGAUUCAACUAACAAACAACACAAUGAUAUCUAAAACAAAUAUGAAAACCCAAAAAGACCAGCUUCAUUCCUGGGCAAUCAGAGCACCUAAUAUCCUUAAUUUCACCCUAAUAGCUUCCACAAAUUCAAGUUACAUCCUCAACCCCCAAAGCUGGAACAAAAGAAAGUACCUCCAACAAGUGCCAAAUCACCGAAGCUUGGUCAGAAAAAGAGUUCGUCAAUUGCCGACUCUGUUCAUAGUAAGAAGCCUCUGCGAGAAAAUCAGCUUUACCAGAGGAUGAAAGAACAGUUGUCGAGCAAAUCUGGAGUCGGCCCAAUGAAGACGAGGUGCUUGUUAUUGAUGCUUUG
RNAcentral lists this long non-coding RNA (1670 nucleotides) under Olea europaea subsp. europaea. The record is from RNAcentral. Lineage: Eukaryota; Viridiplantae; Streptophyta; Magnoliopsida; Lamiales; Oleaceae.